This 253-nucleotide ribosomal RNA is filed under the name uncultured bacterium. Its description in RNAcentral is "partial 16S ribosomal RNA". It matches the Rfam family "Bacterial small subunit ribosomal RNA", at positions 524 to 776 of the family's 1533-position model. The record is from RNAcentral.
GACGAAGGGGGCUAGCGUUGUUCGGAAUUACUGGGCGUAAAGCGAGUGUAGGUGGUUGUUCAAGUUGGAUGUGAAAGCCUUGAGCUCAACUCAAGAAAUGCAUUCAGGACUGAGCGACUAGAGGACCGGAGAGGAUAGUGGAAUUCCCAGUGUAGUGGUGAAAUACGUAGAUAUUGGGAAGAACACCAGUGGCGAAGGCGGCUAUCUGGACGGUUUCUGACACUAAGACUCGAAAGCGUGGGGAGCAAACAGG